RNAcentral lists this ribosomal RNA (253 nucleotides) under uncultured Ktedonobacter sp. RNAcentral describes it as "partial 16S ribosomal RNA". It matches the Rfam family "Bacterial small subunit ribosomal RNA", at positions 524 to 776 of the family's 1533-position model. The record is from RNAcentral. Lineage: Bacteria; Bacillati; Chloroflexota; Ktedonobacteria; Ktedonobacterales; Ktedonobacteraceae.
UACGUAGGGGGCAAGCGUUGUCCGGAGUUACUGGGCGUAAAGCGCUCGCAGGCGGUGCGAUGCGUCGGUGGUGCCAGCUCUGUGCUUCACACAGGGAGUGCUGCCGAAACGGUCACACUUGAGGGCCAGAGAGGGACAUGGAACUCCGGGUGGAGUGGUGAAAUGCGUAGAGAUCCGGAAGAACACCAAAGGCGAAGGCAGUGUCCUGGCUGGCGUCUGACGCUGAGGAGCGAGAGCGAGGGGAGCGAACAGG